CAUAUUAAUCUUUUACACUAUUUUAAUUUUCAAACUUAAGGAUUGUAUUAUAUAAUUGGUAUACUUGCAAGCAGUGAAGAAUAUGCUAACAGUUCUAGUCUGACUUGGCUAAAUUCCACUUCAAGGUGACUUGGCUAAAAUCUGGAUAUCAUUGUUUCCUUGAUUGGAUAGCCUUAAAAUCAAAACUUGACAUCAACUGCUUCAUUGUGAAUCAAAUUUAUACAGCCGUCUCUUUUUGCUUCAUAUGUUCACAACCGCAUUCAAAGAUGUUCAUCUGUUCACAAUGACUGACAUUCUUCAGUGUAAUUCAUCUCUUGUAUCAUGCUAUACUGAAAGUAGUUCAUUAGAUUAGAGCCACUCAAAGGCUAGAAAUGUCAUUUUGUGCUGGACCUGCACCUCAACUCUCUUCUCGUAAAACAGAGGCCUCAUAGAUGAAGGGAAACCAAGUCCAUAAUUUUCUAAAAACAGAAAUAGAAGCAUUGCAAUUAAGUUGGUUGACAUUAGAUACAACCCGAAAAUAGGCCAACCGACACAUCAACCAUGGCCUGCAGUGCUUCAGCUGAGUCCUCUGCUCUCAGCGCAUGCUCGAAGAUUGUGGCUUUCUGUGAAGGGGUUCAGCUCCAUGGGUCUGCUUGUGAAGAUGGGUUUGAGAGAUGUGUUUAUUGGGAUUUCUUAGAUUCGUUUCUAUGCAGAAUGUGGGCACUUGGAUUAUGCCUGCAAAGGUGUUUGAUGAAAUGCUUGAGAGAAACACUCUUUCGUGGACUAAUCAGAGAGGUUUGGAGCUGUGACUUGAAAACAAUCUUUAGACUUCAAGCUUCAAAGUACAAUAGCUGAUUAUAAUUCCAAGACUUCUCAGGUUUGUCUUUCCUCUUUUUUCUCAGAUUCUGCAGGUACAUUGCUUUUAUAAGGCUAUGGUUGACAUUUGUUGGUUCUUUUAAGCUUUUAGUUCAUAGUGGUUUGUAACAGCUGGGAUUAGCACAAAUGCACAAUGGUAGUUGCAUAUACUAAUCAGCAUAUAUGGAUGGCAUUUGGGGUCACCAUACUGGCACCUUAAGAAAGAGAAGCAAGUACCUCUAGUUAUGUUGGCAAAAAACUUUGAACUUAGCAAACGGCUCCGUGGAUUGAAUUUGUAUGUGUUCUUGAAAACUCGGACUGCAUGUAUUCCAUUGCAGUGAUUAAGUGGGAUGAUUGAUGAGACUAUUGUCUGCAGUCGUAGGAAAGAGGCUGCUGCAGGAAGGGUACAUAUGCACUGUGUGAAGAUCCACAAGUAUUUGUAUUCACGAAAACUUUACAAUAUUGAUCAACAGGGGUUGCUGAAUAGUUUUCAGCAGCAGUGAUCAAGUGGCAUGAUGCUGGAGCUUUCCUCUUAAGAGGCUGCUGCAGGAUGGCUACAUAUACCAUCAGGCUUAACCGAGUUCCAAAACUGAUUGAUUUCGUGUAAUACAGAAAAUUUUAGUCAAGUCCAAAAAGAAAAAAGGAACGAAGAAGCUUCUUGGUUAAUGCGCCUACUGUUGCAGUAAAAGAGAAAGUUGCAAUGAAAGCUGCUUGCCAAGUGCGCCCAAUGCCAAGAUGCUUCACAAUUAGCUUUUCUACACUAGAAUAGGCAUUUUGUGUCCCACAUGGAAGAAAAUUAAAGGAAGGAGCUUCUCUUCCCUAUAAAAGGAGAUUCCCUUUCACUUACUCAACAUUCCAUUACAUCCUCAAAUUGCGGCCCAACCGGCACACAUAGUAAAAGCUUCAAAUGGAUGUAGUCUCCUGCUAAAAGGGGAGACAAACCACUAUACUACUUCUCGUGUCUCACUUACUCUCUCUCUCUCUCUUUCUCUCUAACAACUUUCCCUCUCUAACAACUACAGCAUUCGUUUCCUAACGUUAAUAGGUAGUGCUUCCUAUGGUAUGAUAACCUCAGUACUUUGUUAGAAUUUAGGCUGGCUAGUUGUAAGUUAGCACCCGGAAGUGACAAUUAAUGGUACCUUUUCCAUCUAUGACCUUAGAUUGCUUAAGGACAUUUAGAAAAUGAUGAGAAGAGGAGGCAGAAUUUAAAGCUGAAACAAAAGAGGAACAAAAAGACUUGAAAGAACUUCAUUGGGCAUUCACAAAUUUCUAGCAUGAUGGUAUUGCUACAGCAGAUGGAUAUAAUAUUUUGAUGCCUUCAAACAUACAGAUCACCUUCCCUCUGAUGGUCCUUCAAAGUUUUGGUAUUAGUAUGCUUCAUCCACUGCGAAGAGUAGAUGCAUCAGAUCAUGUUCCAAUAAUGGGAUAGCAUGAAUGCGUUAUGCUGAAGCAAUUACAUAUGAGUUACAUUUUGUUCCUCUUUACCCUUUUCUUUCAUGCUCCUCAUUUUGGGGGGGUUUGGUUGUGUAUGGAGUAACAGCUAAACUCUUUGCCUAAAGCUUUUGCAUUACUGAAAGUUUUAAAUAUCAAGUUUAAUCGUCUCAUUUCCUACUGGUGC
Long non-coding RNA from Rosa chinensis, 2452 nucleotides. RefSeq lists it as uncharacterized. The transcript is spliced from 5 exons. The record is from RefSeq and is a predicted model, not a curated record. Lineage: Eukaryota; Viridiplantae; Streptophyta; Magnoliopsida; Rosales; Rosaceae.